This 600-nucleotide ribosomal RNA is filed under the name uncultured bacterium. RNAcentral describes it as "bacterial SSU rRNA". It matches the Rfam family "Bacterial small subunit ribosomal RNA", at positions 885 to 1482 of the family's 1533-position model. The record is from RNAcentral.
GUCGCAAGAUUAAAACUCAAAUGAAUUGACGGGGGCCCGCACAAGCGGUGGAGCAUGUGGUUUAAUUCGAUGCAACGCGAAAAACCUUACCAGGCCUUGACAUCCUGAGAACUUUCUAGAGAUAGAUCGGUGCCUUCGGGAGCUCAGUGACAGGUGUUGCAUGGCUGUCGUCAGCUCGUGUCGUGAGAUGUUGGGUUAAGUCCCGUAACGAGCGCAACCCUUAUCCUUAUUUGCCAGCACUUCGGGUGGGAACUCUAAGGAGACUGCCGGUGACAAACCGGAGGAAGGAGAGGAUGAUGUCAAGUCAGCAUGGCCUUUAUGCCUGGGGCUACACACGUGCUACAAUGACCGGUACAAAGGGUUGCAAACCCGUGAGGGGGAGCCAAUCCCAAAAAACCGGCCUCAGUGCAGAUCGGGGUCUGCAACUCGACCCCGUGAAGGCGGAAUCGCUAGUAAUUGCGGAUCAGAACGCCGCGGUGAAUACGUUCCCGGGCCUUGUACACACCGCCCGUCACACCACGAAAGCCCGUUGUACCAGAAGUCGCUGGAGCCAACCCGCAAGGGAGGCAGGCGCCCAAGGUAUGGCUGGUGAUUGGGGUG